CACUAGUCUUUUGUCACACAGAUACAAAUUGCUUUGAACAGUUUUACCCUCUGAGGUUCCUAAUCUACUCUGUUUCUUAUGUGAGAUACAAAAAGAUUUAAACAUUAUAAUAUGUCCAAACUAAACCACAUUUAUUCACUUCUAACAAUAUUUUCACUGAAGAACAAAACUUUUUAAAACUUUUUUUAUUUUUAGGUCAGCAGACCUAUUCUAAAUCCACAUUUUGAGAAACUGGGAGACUGGUCAAUCUUGUUCCAUAUGGAAAAUAGCUACCUACCCACAGCCCCUGCUAGGAAAAGCUCAUGUGAAGUAAAGCUUGUCUUUUUGCAGCUUCUUAUCCUCUAGGAUCCAGGUACCUGGUAUGGCCAUGUCUAGGGCAGCAUACAGAAAACAAAAGAGAUAAAAGAAUGAAGCUUUGGAGAAGGAACCUGAAGGCCGGAGGGCUUCUACACAUAACUGGGAAAUUUCUUGCAGAUAGAAGAGUGAUGGGAGACCAGCCAAGAUCAGCUUAUCUGCACCAGGCCAACAACUUGAACUAGUGAGGGAAGCUGAAGCCAUGCUGGACCAGUAUUGCUAAAAACAGCAGAGAUACUCUAUGGACAUUAAGACCGUAUUCUGAGGAAAUGAAAGGAAGGCAGUUCUAUUGCCAUUUGUGGAUACAGGGCUCAAUUUUUUAUAUAAGGGAAUGUGUGAUGGUGAAGCAAUAAUAAAAAAAAUAAAAAAUCCUAGAAUUGAUUCAAAUUUUCAAACUGAUUUGAAAAUCAAAUUCUAGUGAGAUUACAUGAAUUUAUCUGUACAUGCCAGCUACAUUUAUUUGUAGUAUGUGCCUCCACACCACACAGAUGCCCAGAAAAACAUUCAGAUGGCUUUCAGAAGGAUCAUUCACAUUCAUAAAGACUCAAGAGUGUCCUGCUGGCCUUUAGCAGCAUGCUUUUAGCUGGUAAUUAAUGGCUGCUCUCUCCCAUGGUGGUAAAAGCAAGUGUAAAAAUUCUGUCCUUCUGCAGUGACACUGAACAACCUGACUCAAGUGGCUCUUCACCAGGUAUUACCAUCUCCUAGUCCUAUUGCUACCUAAGAUUAAAAAAUGCUACUUAAGAUUAAUAAAAAAUCAUAAUGUGAGGAACUGCACUCUUCU
RNAcentral lists this long non-coding RNA (1135 nucleotides) under Strigops habroptila (Kakapo). RNAcentral's name for it is "lncRNA (ENSSHBG00005001480.1)". The record is from RNAcentral. Lineage: Eukaryota; Metazoa; Chordata; Aves; Psittaciformes; Psittacidae.